Molecule: ribosomal RNA, 1369 nt
Filed under: uncultured bacterium
Lineage: Bacteria
Description: bacterial SSU rRNA
Rfam family: Bacterial small subunit ribosomal RNA
Source: RNAcentral
GACGAACGCUGGCGGCGUGCCUAAUACAUGCAAGUAGACCGCUGAAGAGAGGAGCUUGCUCUUCUUGGAUGAGUUGCGAACGGGUGAGUAACGCGUAGGUAACCUGCCUUGUAGCGGGGGAUAACUAUUGGAAACGAUAGCUAAUACCGCAUAACAAUGGAUGACACAUGUCAUUUAUUUGAAAGGGGCAAUUGCUCCACUACAAGAUGGACCUGCGUUGUAUUAGCUAGUAGGUGAGGUAAUGGCUCACCUAGGCGACGAUACAUAGCCGACCUGAGAGGGUGAUCGGCCACACUGGGACUGAGACACGGCCCAGACUCCUACGGGAGGCAGCAGUAGGGAAUCUUCGGCAAUGGGGGCAACCCUGACCGAGCAACGCCGCGUGAGUGAAGAAGGUUUUCGGAUCGUAAAGCUCUGUUGUAAGUCAAGAACGGGUGUGAGAGUGGAAAGUUCACACUGUGACGGUAGCUUACCAGAAAGGGACGGCUAACUACGUGCCAGCAGCCGCGGUAAUACGUAGGUCCCGAGCGUUGUCCGGAUUUAUUGGGCGUAAAGCGAGCGCAGGCGGUUUGAUAAGUCUGAAGUUAAAGGCUGUGGCUCAACCAUAGUUCGCUUUGGAAACUGUCAAACUUGAGUGCAGAAGGGGAGAGUGGAAUUCCAUGUGUAGCGGUGAAAUGCGUAGAUAUAUGGAGGAACACCGGUGGCGAAAGCGGCUCUCUGGUCUGUAACUGACGCUGAGGCUCGAAAGCGUGGGGAGCGAACAGGAUUAGAUACCCUGGUAGUCCACGCCGUAAACGAUGAGUGCUAGGUGUUGGAUCCUUUCCGGGAUUCAGUGCCGCGGCUAACGCAUUAAGCACUCCGCCUGGGGAGUACGACCGCAAGGUUGAAACUCAAAGGAAUUGACGGGGGCCCGCACAAGCGGUGGAGCAUGUGGUUUAAUUCGAAGCAACGCGAAGAACCUUACCAGGUCUUGACAUCCCGAUGCUAUUUCUAGAGAUAGAAAGUUACUUCGGUACAUCGGUGACAGGUGGUGCAUGGUUGUCGUCAGCUCGUGUCGUGAGAUGUUGGGUUAAGUCCCGCAACGAGCGCAACCCCUAUUGUUAGUUGCCAUCAUUCAGUUGGGCACUCUAGCGAGACUGCCGGUAAUAAACCGGAGGAAGGUGGGGAUGACGUCAAAUCAUCAUGCCCCUUAUGACCUGGGCUACACACGUGCUACAAUGGUUGGUACAACGAGUUGCGAGUCGGUGACGGCGAGCUAAUCUCUUAAAGCCAAUCUCAGUUCGGAUUGUAGGCUGCAACUCGCCUACAUGAAGUCGGAAUCGCUAGUAAUCGCGGAUCAGCACGCCGCGGUGAAUACGUUCCCGGGCCU